Molecule: ribosomal RNA, 409 nt
Filed under: Verrucomicrobiota bacterium
Lineage: Bacteria; Pseudomonadati; Verrucomicrobiota
Description: Verrucomicrobia bacterium partial 16S ribosomal RNA
Rfam family: Bacterial small subunit ribosomal RNA
Source: RNAcentral
UGGGGAAUAUUGCACAAUGGGCGGAAGCCUGAUGCAGCGACGCCGCGUGAGGGAUGACGGCCUUCGGGUUGUAAACCUCUUUCAGUAGGGACGAAGCGUAAGUGACGGUACCUGCAGAAGAAGCACCGGCUAACUACGUGCCAGCAGCCGCGGUAAUACGUAGGGUGCGAGCGUUGUCCGGAAUUACUGGGCGUAAAGAGCUCGUAGGCGGUUUGUCACGUCGUCUGUGAAAUCCUAGGGCUUAACCCUGGACGUGCAGGCGAUACGGGCUGACUUGAGUACUACAGGGGAGACUGGAAUUUCUGGUGUGGCGGUGGAAUGCACAGAUGUCAGGAAGAACACCGAUGGCGAAGGCAGGUCUCUGGGUAGUAACUGACGCUGAGGAGCGAAAGCUAGGGGGGCGAACAGG